This 292-nucleotide ribosomal RNA is filed under the name uncultured bacterium. Its description in RNAcentral is "partial 16S ribosomal RNA". It matches the Rfam family "Bacterial small subunit ribosomal RNA", at positions 505 to 796 of the family's 1533-position model. The record is from RNAcentral.
GUGUCAGCAGCCGCGGUAAUACGUAGGGGGCUAGCGUUGUCCGGAUUUAUUGGGCGUAAAGAGCGCGUAGGCGGCUAGGUAAGUCCGACGUGAAAUCUGGAGGCUCAACCUCCAGCGGUCGUUGGAAACUACUUGGCUAGAGUCCGGAAGAGGAGAGUGGAAUUCCUGGUGUAGCGGUGAAAUGCGCAGAUAUCAGGAAGAACACCGAUGGCGAAAGCAGCUCUCUGGGACGGUACUGACGCUGAGGCGCGAAAGCGUGGGGAGCGAACAGGAUUAGAUACCCGUGUAGUCC